This 687-nucleotide long non-coding RNA is filed under the name Capsella grandiflora. Its description in RNAcentral is "long non-coding RNA (CGRA_LNC000985)". Lineage: Eukaryota; Viridiplantae; Streptophyta; Magnoliopsida; Brassicales; Brassicaceae. The record is from RNAcentral.
UUCGUUGUCGUCGUGCUCGUGUUCAUUGAAGAGCACAAUGAAGAAGGAGGAGAAGAAGAAGAGGAAGCAAAACGCAUCUGUGGGUAAGUGUUUUAAAUGAGAAUGAAGAAAAAAAGGACUUUGAAAAAAGUUUUUAAUAAAGAGAAAGAGUCGUCUGAUGUGUGAGUUGACUCAGACUUUGGAUCGUCGUCGUCGUCGUCGUCUUGUGUAAGGUUCGUGAAAAAUGGGGCAGAGCAAAAGAAAGAAACACUACUCUGAUGAGAACACAACACAAAUGACUCAAAGAAAAAAAAGAAAAAAAACCAAAUCGGUCUUUGCGCGUUAAAUGUUUUUUUCUUCUUUCUUCUUUUUUGACUUUUCAACAUCAUUAUAUCUUUUUAUAUUUUGUUUGUUUGUUAGAGAGAUGGACAAAUUUUUCUUUUAUUUGGUGUUAUUUCGCUUUUUUUAAUUCGUUUUUAAAAUAAUUAUGGAUAUUUAAUUUUAUUUGUAGGUUUGUAGUUUUUGACCAAAUCAAAUGAUAGAAAAUAUGACAUCCAUCGGAAUCAAAUCAGUUCGCCAUGAUUCGUAUGUUGUUUAACUUGUUAAGUCUAGGUGCACAAUAUUCUAUUUCUAACCCAAAAAUUUGAUGCAAUUCCGACUUAAAUAAAAUCACUAACAAAAAUAUGAAAUUUAAUUAAAUUUGAACCG